GACGAACGCUGGCGGCGUGCUUAACACAUGCAAGUGGAGCGACGAACCGGGGCUUGCCCCGGGGCAGAGCCGCGAACGGGUGAGUAACACGUGGGUAACCUGCCUCAAUGAUUGGGACAACCCGGGGAAACUCGGGCUAAUACCAAAUGUGUUCACUCCUUCUAAGGGGAGUGAGGAAAGGAAGCUUCGGCCUCCGCAUUGAGAUGGGCCCGCGGCCCAUUAGCUUGUGGUGAGGUAACGGCUCACCAAGGCUUCGAUGGGUAGCUGGUCUGAGAGGACGAUCAGCCACACUGGGACUGAGACACGGCCCAGACUCCUACGGGAGGCAGCAGUGGGAAUCUUGCACAAUGCGCGAAAGCGUGAUGCAGCAACGCCGCGUGGGGGAA
This 386-nucleotide ribosomal RNA is filed under the name uncultured bacterium. Its description in RNAcentral is "bacterial SSU rRNA". It matches the Rfam family "Bacterial small subunit ribosomal RNA", at positions 28 to 409 of the family's 1533-position model. The record is from RNAcentral.